CAGAGUUUAAGCUCAGUGAGUGGUUGCAAUUAAUGAGAUAGCCAACUGCCCCUCUUUCCCAGAGAUAUUUGUAAGGCUGAGUUUUAUUUUUGCCCAGAUGGUUGUUUAGGAAUUGAACUGCUUUUGAAUACAAAACAAGAGUUGCUUGUGUAGAAGCAUGAGCAGAGGCCUGACUUUGGUUGUGUGGAAGAAUGGUCAGAGGCCUGACUAGGCUGUGCAGUGGUCAGAGCCCAGAUGAACAUUUAUUGGUCUGGCAGCCAGAUAUCUGCUCCACAGGAGGUGUGAUAAGCCAGACUCUGGGAUUCCUUUGCAUUAAAAAACAAAAUGCAGGCAUCCUUCAAGAAUUUUAAGUUCUCUGGCAGGAAGGUGCUUUGGGCCAUUCUGUUUUACUUUAUUUUAUUGGUGAUGUCCAAAGAUUUUUAGGGUGCAAGAUCUGUCCUGGAUCAUCUUGGCCUCAAACCUGCCAGCCCCUGGCACUGGUAUGACCUGGUACCCCAUGGCCAGGUUCUUCCCUGUGGCUCUACUCUGCCAGCCAAGCCAUCAGAUGGGUGGUACUUGAGCAAGUCUUACCCAGAGUUGGGCCAUGUCUCUGCUCUUCCCUAGCUGGCCUUCCAGCUUCCACUAGAGAACUGGACCUUGUACAUUCUAGGGAAGGCUGGGGAUCUGGGCAUAAAGCAGGGGCGGAGAGGAGAGAAACCUUGAUUAAGCUGCCUUGUCCACAGGAUUCCUCUUUCCUUCAUUUUGAAAAUACCUAGUUUGUUCCAACUGUGAAGAAAGGGAGGAGGAACUUGUGAAAGUCACCAAUACUGUACCAUCGCAUUGAUGUGGGACCUCUUGCCAGAAGCUCAUGGAAGACAGUGACCUGGUGCAGUGGAAAGCACAAGACUUUAGGCCAUGGCAACAAAGGGCCUUGUGCUCACUAUAGCAGAGCGUCCUGUCUUUGUCCGAUCCAGCCCAGUACAUCAGUCUCUGCAAAUAACAAAAGAUGUGGCCACUCGGCCGCCUGUCUGUGCCCCCACCAGAGCACUGAGAAAGGUUGAGGCCUCUCCAACUGGAGCUGAACUAGGAGAGCAGCAGACAGGAAGUCCCUCUGUAGCAGGGACUGAUUCAACCUUUGCUGCUUUAGCCCUCAGUAGAUGGAAAUGCUGAAGCUCCUACGUCCUCUGUGCUUCUCUUUCUGAACACUCUUCCCUGGUGGUUGGCAAUCUGCCUGCCUAUGCAGGGGACACGGGUUCAAGCCCUGGUCUAGGAAGAUCCCACAUGCCGUGGAGCAACUAAGCCCGUGCGCCACAACUACUGAGCCUGUGCUCUAGAGCCCGCGAGCCACAACUACUGAGCCCGCGAGCCACAACUACUGAAGCCUACCACCUAGAGCCUGUGCUCCACAACAAGAGCAGCCACCGCAGUGAGAAGCCUGCACACCGCAACGAAGAGUAGCCCCCGCUUGCUGCAACUAGAGAAAGCCCACACGCAGCAACGAAGA
Molecule: long non-coding RNA, 1483 nt
Organism: Balaenoptera acutorostrata (minke whale)
Lineage: Eukaryota; Metazoa; Chordata; Mammalia; Artiodactyla; Balaenopteridae
Exons: 4
Source: RefSeq, a predicted model, not a curated record